AGCAACAUGUAUUCUUUACACACAUUUCACAACAGUGUGCCUGAUGGAUAAACUGAUAAAAUGAUAAACACAUGGAGUUAUUAAAGAUGAAUACUGAUGGGAUGUUGAGCCGGGUCAGAGGGCGCACAGAGCAGAGAGUGCGGAGUGUGGAGAACCAAUCAGAGCAAAUAAAGACAGAAAUGAGAGAAGGGCAGCCAAUCAGACACUCAGAGCAGAGCUGAGGAGGAGCAGAGUGGACAGUAACUUUGUAAUAAUUAUUUUGUUUCAGCUUUGAGUUUGGCUCCACGCUGGGGUUUUCCUACCUGGCAUCCCCACAGAUCCCACACAGAGUCACAGCAGGUGAAACCAGGCCGGCGGGGAGGCCGGCAGCCCUUUGUGUCCAUGCUCUGUUUGAAGCUGAGAGGGUCAGUGAGCACAUGGGUCACUGCACGACCCCACAAACCGCUCCUCAGACGAUGCUGACCGAGGAGAAGAAUAGCUCCUCCUGCUUCCAUCACUGACCAGACUCAGACUGAUACCCACUGUGUGACCCACUGUGGCUGACCCACUGUGUGUGACGGGACCUGCUGCAGGCUCAGGGUCAGCCUCAGAUCAGACUGAAGCAGAGACCACGUGAGCAGCUGUUUGCGUGCUGCGGCUGCUUCCUUUCUGUUUGAUUUGUGUUGGUUAAAAUAAA
Oreochromis niloticus (Nile tilapia) is the source of this 676-nucleotide long non-coding RNA. RefSeq lists it as uncharacterized. The transcript has 3 exons. Lineage: Eukaryota; Metazoa; Chordata; Actinopteri; Cichliformes; Cichlidae. The record is from RefSeq and is a predicted model, not a curated record.